AGCGAAUGCAGGCUACACAGCUAUCCCAGAAGCCAGAGCAGCAAGAGGGAGCGCUGCGCAGUGAUCCCUCUUGCUAUUCUGGCUUCUGGCUCAGCUGUGCAAAGACUCUUCAGGGCAGCUGGCUUCUGGGAUUCAGAAUUUUUUUCUUCUUGUUUUCCUCCUCCAAAAACUAGGUGCGUCUUAUGGUCUGGUGCGUCUUAUAUAGCGAAAAAUACAGUGCUGGCAAGAGUGGGGUGCAAAGGCCAGGGAUAGAAGAAUAUUGUUUGAGCAAGUGAAGGAACAACUGACAUGAGGCCUGGUUCCUAAAUCUGAUAUUAGAGUUACCUCUACACAAGAGGCUACAGAAUUCAGGAACCUUCUAUUUUCACGAUAAUGAGGUCUGUCUACUCGGUAGGUGUGGAUUGUGCCAUUGCUGGUGUUUCGAGGAUAAAAUGGCUCCCUUUCACCAGGCUCCCACGGAUUACGAUAACUUCAACCAGUCUGGGAGUUGUAGCUCAUCAACAUCUGGAGGGUCACUGAUUCCCACCCCCUGUUCUAGGCUAAAUUACCGCAUUUGAAGGCCGUCCUCAAAACUGCAGUGAGUCCCAAAUAUAGCUGCUAGGAUGCUACCUGGGACUGGGUGUUGGGUCACAUCUCACCGGUGCUUUAACAGGUAAAUUGACUCCUGGUUCAUUUUCUGGUUCAAAAUUCCAGUGCUGGCGAUAGUUUUUAAAUCCUUCUGUGUCUGGCAUGUAUGAAGGGUCCCCUCCACAUCAGCCUGCCCAAACAUUUCCCUCUUUAGAGGCCCUCGGGUGAGGUGGGGAGGUAACAAGAGAUUUCCCCAGGUGUUCCCCCAGAGAGGUUCACCUGGUGCCAGGUUGUUUUUAACGGUAGCAUAUAUUUUCAUUAAUGUUUCAUUCUUGAUUAAAAUCCAUCAUAUUUUAAAAGCUU
Podarcis muralis (Common wall lizard) is the source of this 930-nucleotide non-coding RNA. Lineage: Eukaryota; Metazoa; Chordata; Lepidosauria; Squamata; Lacertidae. The record is from RefSeq and is a predicted model, not a curated record.